This is a small nucleolar RNA of Saimiri boliviensis boliviensis (Bolivian squirrel monkey), 104 nucleotides long. RefSeq annotates it as small nucleolar RNA U13. The record is from RefSeq and is a predicted model, not a curated record. Lineage: Eukaryota; Metazoa; Chordata; Mammalia; Primates; Cebidae.
AUCCUUUUGUAGCUCAUGAGCAUGAUGAGUGGGUGUUCACAUGCUUGUGUGAGACGUGCUACCCUUGAGCCUUGUUAUGACGUCGGCACAUUACCCGUCUGACC